AUGAGUUGCUCCUCGAAGUCAAGUCGCAACUGUAUUAACGGUGUUAAGAAAAAGGAAACAAACUUGCAAGACGUUUCUGUCUUGCGAAGCAAGCCCAUAGGGAAAAUCGUCUUGCGAAGCAACUCAAAAAACCAAAAACCCUUUCGUCUUGCGAGUUUUUGUCUUGCAAGGCAUUCGUCUUACUUGGAUCCUGCCAAAGUCUGUACUGGAAAGGGGGCUGUGACCCUCUGGGCGUCUCCAACCUAUGAGGAGAAUCGGAGCGUCAGUCCUACAAGUCAUUCACAAGACGUCCACCAAUCUGAAAAUGAUUGGAGGUUACCGCUUAGUGUCGACUCCAAUGGGGAUGCUCAGUCCUCUGCUCUGGCUGCCAAGGGCUACCGCAGUGUGCGGCCAAACCUCUCUGAGAGCAAACCACACGUGAGUACCUCUCAGACAGAGGUUAUAGUAGUGCCAUUCCAACAGGUUUACCCCGACCGCGGGCGAGAAGGCAGCUCAAGCACACCUCCACCGUCUCUCCUGCCAUAUGGCCAAAGCUCUGCAUUCUCUGACAGCACGCCUGCUCCUGGCUUACUCCUGACCUUCCCGACAUUAGACGAUUUCAUUCCCCCUCACCUUCAGAAAGGUUCCCAACAUAACCAGCCGUCCUCUUCGUCGGGGAUCGUGCCCCACGUUCGCCCGAAACUGCCUUCACUGUCGCCACCACCACCUCCUCCUCCUCCUGUGCUGAUUCCUCCCGUCACGGAGGUCUCAGACAGUGUGUCGGAGCCCGAGAGCACAGGAAUGAUCUUGCGCACAGACCCCUGUCCUCUGCUCUAUGAAGCGCCCAGGUCCAGCAGUGGCACAGAGUGCUAUGGCUCCCUAACUCUCACCAGCAAACCCACCUCUGGGUACCCCUCCACCACCAUAGUCAACCCCACCAUCGUCCUUUUGCAGCACAACAGAGGUAAGGGUAACAACAUAUUGCCUUUUCCAGCUCAACUUGGGGCAAUUUUCAGCGAGGGCAAUUACCGAAUGGAGGAAAGGAAGAAAGUAAUUAAGAGUCCACAGUACAUGACCGAUUCCUCACCGGAUGACAUAGGCAUUCCAUUAAGGGUAAGGAAAUUUGACCCUCCUGAAGAAAACCCUUAUUGCCCUACCUACAAAUUCCCCGAACUUCCUGAUAUCCAGCCCCAAACCAAAGAUGAAGAUUCCGAUUCCUGUGUGCCUCAGUACUCCUUUUACAAAGACACAAGAGCACAGACUUCAGUACCCCGUUCCAAGAGCGAGAACGACACUAUCGACAUGGAGAAAGUGGUCAAGAGAUCUGCCACUCUGCCCCUGCCAGCUCGUACCUCUUCUCUUAAACCGAGCACUGAAAGGAAUGAUUGGGAGCCUCCGGACAAGAAGGUGGACACAAGAAAAUACCGCGCUGAACCUAAAAGCAUUUAUGAAUAUCAGCCAGGAAGGUCCUCUGUUCUGAACAAUGAAAAAUUGACUCGGGAUAUAAGCCCAGAAGAGAUAGAUUUAAAGAAUGAGCCUUGGUAUAAAUUCUUUUCGGAAUUGGAGUUUGGGAAACCGCCUCCAAAAAAGAUUUGGGAUUAUACUCCGGGAGAUUGCUCUAUCCUUACUAGAGAGGAUAGAAAGACUGACCCAGAAAAAGACAUCUACCUCUAUCAGACUGAGUUAGAGGCAGAUAUAGAAAAAAUGGAGAAAAUGUAUAAAGAUAAGAAGCAGAUGAAGGUAUUUCUUCUUCAUUCCACGCACUCGCCGUAUUCCCCCAGCUACCAUUCUGCAAAGAGAGAGUUUGAAACAGCUCUGGGAGAUGCCACCGGGCCGGAAAACGAAAGGCAAAUAUACAAAAGUGUUUUAGAAGGUGGCGAUAUCCCGCUGCAAGGGCUAAGCGGUCUCAAACGUCCCUCCAGCUCGGCUUCCACUAAAGAUUCAGAAUCACCAAGGCAUUUUGCACCACUUGAUUACAUGGAGAGUCCUGAAGAAUUUUCCCGCAGGCGCCACAGUGAUAAAGAGAAACUUUUAGAGGACCAGAGACGGCUUAGACGUGAGCAAGAAGAGGCUGACAUUGCAGCUAGAAGGCACACAGGGGUCAUUCCUACGCACCAUCAAUUUAUCACUAAUGAGCGGUUUGGGGACCUCCUAAUUGUAGACGAUACCGCAAAAAGGAGAUCUGGGUCAGAGAUGAGAGCUGCCAGAGCGAAGUUUGACUUUAAAGCCCAGACACUCAAGGAGCUCCCACUGAAGAAAGGGGAUGUCGUUUACAUUUAUAAGCAAAUUGAUCAGAAUUGGUUUGAAGGCGAACACCAUGGCAGAGUUGGAAUUUUCCCACAAUCAUACAUAGAGCUACUCCCUCCCACAGAAAAAGCUCAGCCUAAGAAAACAUCACCGAUACAAGUCCUGGAAUACGGUGACGCUAUUGCCAAGUUCAAUUUCAAUGGUGACACUCAAGUGGAAAUGUCUUUCAGAAAGGGCGAGAGGAUCACACUGAUUCGGCAAGUGGACGAAAACUGGUAUGAAGGAAAAAUCCCCAGCACUCACCGCCAAGGCAUCUUCCCGGUCACAUACGUGGACAUUUUCAAGCAGCCGGUGCUGAAGAACACACUAGACUAUGGCAGCUUGUCGUUCUGCCACUCCCCAAACCGGAGUCUGACAACAUCCCCGCAGUCUCCCAGUUCUGAGCUGCUUUUCACACCAACUCCUCCACCUUUGGCCCCCAUCCGCCCAGCCCUGUCUCCUGAGUUGCAGGCUGUCACCUCCGAGUGGAUUUCCCUCACCUUCGGGGCGCCCCGUGGCCACGCUGCACCCGUCACCCCUCCAUUACCACCUCUUCCUGACGCUUCUCUCUGCAACGUCGACUAUCUCACCCCAUCAGCAGUGGCCAGCCCCUCGCCUUCCAUCAGCCUCCAUCCCUCUAACAUGUCCAGUUCCUCCACCCCGACCUCUUUCGUUUCCCCGCUGCCUCCCUCCCCUUACGAGCCUCAGUCGCCCGCCCAAAACGCCAGCCUGGCGGCUCGGCAGAGCGAAGAGAAGUUUGCUAGCUCCCCUUCCCCACAAAUGAGCUACUGCAAUUCGCCUUGCAGCCCCGACAGCUUCCUCUCAGAGCUCAGCGAUGCCACUGAACGCCAAGGCAAGUUGCAGAAGAGCCGAGGGCCGAGCCGGAGAAUGGAGAGGGAGGAUUGCGUUACGGCCGAACAGAAGUUGCGGUGUGCAUUUGCUAAAAUGUCUCCCUUACCAUGUGCUUUGGUGAUCACACAGCUUUCUCAUCAUUCAUUGAGGCCAGGACCAGAUCUCACAGAAUCUGAAAAGAGCUAUGUGGUAAGAUCGCUUAGCUACCAAGCAUUGUACAGCUAUGUCCCGCAGAAUGAAGAUGAGCUGGAGUUAAGAGAUGGAGAUAUCAUAGAUGUCAUGGAGAAGUGUGAUGACGGCUGGUUUGUUGGUGAGCAUGACAUCUGUCAUUUCAACUCGUUUUUAAAACGUUAA
Molecule: long non-coding RNA, 3471 nt
Filed under: Podarcis muralis (Common wall lizard)
Lineage: Eukaryota; Metazoa; Chordata; Lepidosauria; Squamata; Lacertidae
Description: lncRNA (ENSPMRG00000004484.1)
Source: RNAcentral